Long non-coding RNA from Hydra vulgaris (swiftwater hydra), 1528 nucleotides. RefSeq lists it as uncharacterized. The record is from RefSeq and is a predicted model, not a curated record. NCBI's taxonomy places the organism in Eukaryota, Metazoa, Cnidaria, Hydrozoa, Anthoathecata, Hydridae.
AAAAGGAGGGUAGGUUAUAUUAUAUGUUUUUUUAUGAGUAAUUUUGGCCUUUCUUUGUGUGGUUCUUUUUUACUUAUUUAGACCAUAUCAUCAAGAACUUGUUGGUCGAGAGAAUUGCGAAGUGCAUCCCACGCAUUUAUGUAAGCAGAAUCUGUUAUGCCUUUAUAUAUGCUGUUAUAUUCGCGGAUCCGAAGAAAUUGAGACAAAACAAUUUUGGCAUUAUAAUGGUGCUAUAUUUGCUGUUAUGUUAUGGCGUUAUGAUAUGGUGUUAAAUUUAAAGAUAUUUGCUGUUAUUUUUACUGAUGAUUAUGCAUUAAUACUUGCUGUUAUAUUUGAUGUCACAUGUGACAGCAAAUAUAUCAGCAAAAUAUCAUUGCAAUAAAUAAAAAAUUUUGAAACUGGCACAUUAAUUUUAAAGCGGUAUCACGAGAUGGCAAAAGUGAAAGGAAAAUGAAAUGAAAGCAAUUAAAGUUAAGAAAAAUCUGAAAUAGUUAUUGCUAUCAGCAGUAAUUUUUUUGUAUUUUGUGCAGCUGCUCACGAAACCUUCAAUUUGUCUAUAAUUGAAGAAGUUAAUUGGAACAGCUGUUACGUAACUGCUAAUAGUUUUACUGCUCUUCUUAAUGUACAAAAGAGCUUAUGAUUCAAGCUCCACAUCUUGUAUUGACAACAAUAUAUCCAACUCACAACAAGUUAGGUUUCUAUCUGAUUUAAAUAAAGCUGACACAGCUCAAUCAACUCAUGCCAAAAGUUCAUCUAUUUUAAAUAAUUGUGUAGAUUUUGUGGUUCCACCAAAGAAAAUAACUUAGAACUCAGAAAACCAAUAUAUGGCUGGAGAAUCUUGUAUGAGUGUUGUGCAGCUUCCAGUUAGACAAUUAUCUUCAUCAGUUAUACAAUAUAGUGCAUCUAAAAACAUCUUCGAGACACCACGAAAGGCUUUAACAGUUCUUUUUGAUUCUGAUGAGGUUUCUCACUAAAGGACCUUUUUUAGUAUAUCUACUUUGAACUUUUUACACAAGUAAAAACAAUGAUAUUUUUAAAGAGCACCUGAAAAAUUAUAUUCUUCAGUAUUCUCAAGUUGCUCUUCCUUCAGACAGUUGGCACUUCUUUUAAAUUUUCAAAACUAUUUGGAACCUUCGUCUGAUAAUCUGCUCGAUGAAUUAAAGGUACCUGCAAAGUAUGGUCCGCAAGUUCUGUAUAACUUAACACAAUAUGGCGUUCACAGUAGAUCAGGGUGUGAAAUGAUCAACACAGAGUUACGGACGGUUAAAAAGGUUUUAUGCGUUAUUGUUUGCAUAUACUAUUUGUUAGACCUCGCUUAUCCAUCUUCUUUUUCACAACUGAUGGGUCUUUUUCAUGAGGUGUUGCUAAACGAAUGCUUUGAAAAAAAAUCAAAAAAGACUUGCUCUUAUAUUGCUCAUAUAAACAGUUAACUAAAUUUUUUGAUGUCUUUAAGUAACGCUAGUUGUUUUCUUUAUUAAUUUAUUAAAAUUUUUCAUUUUAUAUUUAAGUUGUUACUUAAAGAACAAGU